Molecule: long non-coding RNA, 2897 nt
Filed under: Mus musculus (house mouse)
Lineage: Eukaryota; Metazoa; Chordata; Mammalia; Rodentia; Muridae
Description: long non-coding RNA chr9:25490074-25492971
Source: RNAcentral
UUUUUUUUUUUGUUUGUUUGUUUGUUUUUUUUUUUUUAAAUAAAAUAACCAGUUUCAUCAUGGUGGUAUCCCGAGUGCGUAACGUGCAUGCUAACAGUCAUCCCCUUCCCGCUCCCUGCCAUUAGUCUCUUGUCUUCCCACUGCUGUCUCCAUUUCUCUUCCCAAACAGCUCUGUUGUACAGCGUCACUUCUCUAACAGCAAUCUGGAUCCAACAUUUGAGAGGAAACAUGUUUGCCUUUAUGCGUUGGUUCAUUUCUUUUGAUCUCCAUCUCCAUCCAUUUUUUCCCCCCUGCAAAUGACACAAUUUCCCUUUCUGUUAUUUUAAGUAAAAAAAAAAAGUAAAACAGUGUUCUGUGGUCUGAAAGCGCCGAUGACUGGCUGUGCUGUGCUGGCCUGAAGCUGUGGACGCCCUUUCCUCUUCUCGUUUCUCUGUAGGAGCCUUCACAGCUGCAGAUCCUGGUGUCCCUCUGCCAUUUGUUCUGUUAAAGCAAUGAUCUUAAACCAUAAAGUCUCACUCUGAACAGCACACUAUUCCACGCCUGUCUCUCCAUAGGGCCUGGAGCUUUUAUGCCUGUUUGGUAGCAGUGCGUCUGCUGAGACCAGAAACUGAUAAUUAACACUGGACUUGCUGUGGCUGAGGCGUGAGCCUAGCCCUUGUCACCUGUGGCCAUCUCUAUCCCUGUCUAAUGGACAGAAAAGGGAUUGCUCAGCUAAGCCUAGACCUCUGCCAGGGUCACAUGGCUUUUAAGUAGUGGGGUCUGAAUUACAGUCGCAGCAGUUGGUGAAAAAGUACCUGUCAGUCACUAAUCCUCCUUGCGGACUACCCGCUGCUCUUCUGCUCCGAGCUCUUUCAGCUCAGCGUGUGGAUGAUGCUCAGCAAAGCCAUCAUGUGUGUGAGUGCAUGUAUUUGCUCUGGCCUUGGCUUCUUCAAAGUGGAGCAAGGAUAUUUGCAAAGCAAACUGGGUGUAAGAUACUGUAUGUAUAUAUUUUUUAUGACUUUUGAGCCUUUUAUAUUUAUUGAUCUUGCCCACACCUUUUUUUUUUUUUUUUUUUUUUGGACAACAGUUUCUUCCAUAAUCUGUUUUUGUAGGAUCUAUCCAAACAUUCGUCUUCAUUUUCUUAGGAACAACUUCUCUUCCUGUUCACACUUCUUGUUUGUGAGUUGGUGUCAUGUUUUAGGGGUAGUAGUAGUGUGUGCAACUGGCAUUAGCAGUCUCAAGGCAGAUACAGUUGGCUCCCGGCAAGCACAGGACGCCCAUAGGCGUGGCUGAUCCACUCAGGAAUGUUCAAUGUACUAUGGAUUUCCCAAGUCUGCAACAACAGAGGAAGAGCCCAGUGUGGUGGGUCUUUUGAAUUGAAGUUGCUGGGAAAAACAAACAAACAAAAAAAUCAAUCCUCUUUGGCGUGUGUAAAAUCACUAGUACGUGUAGAUGAAUCUCAAAACACAAAAGCCAGAUAUAGUGGCACAUGCCUGUCAUUCUAGUAUUUGGAAGGCAGAGGUAAGAGAAUUGUGAAUUUGAGGUACAGCCCCAUCUCAAAGAAAACAAAAUAAAACAAAACCCCAAUCAAAUAAAAACAAAACAAAAUAAACCUUGGUACCUGUGCCCAAGAGAGUGUUGCAGGGUGUGGAGAGUGUUGACUCCUAGCAGUAACUGAAGGUGUCAGCCGCCCAUCAUUCUCCCCCUAAGGGUGACGCAAAAGAUGUGGCUGGAUAUAAACUCACAAGGUGAUCACUUUAGUGUAUCCCUUCCCCCUAAAUUAUUCAUUUCAGCUCUCAGAAAGGUAAACAGAAAUGGACUUUCAUUUUUUAUUUUAUUUUAUUUUUCUUUGACUUAGGACAUGUAUGGGUCAUGACUUUAAAUCAGUGGUUCUCAGUGGGUCUCGAUCCCCUGAGGUUGAACUCCCCUUUCACAGGGGUCACAUAUCAGAUAUCUGGUAUAUCAGAUAUUUACAUUACGAUUCAUAACAGUAGCAACAUUACAGUUAUGAAAUAGCAAUUAAAUAAUUUUAUGGUUGGGAGAUUCAUAAAGGGGUCACAGCAUCAAGAACGUGGACAACCACUGUUUUAGAAUUUUCUGCUUGUGUAACCUGUGAAUUACUCUGGGGAUAAGUGUUUGAGGAAGAAGGCUGCAUUUGAUGUCUUAUAAAGCAUUUUCCUAAGUUUUAAAGUUUUCACAGUCUUUUUAAAUUGUUCUGAAUGGAAUUUUAAUUUUGAAAAUUUUUGAUUUUUUAAAUUUUUUUUUUAUGUAGAAUAUGGAUGAGAUCUCCCAGUGACUGAGGGGAACAUUUUAGUGUGUGUGAACUGCACUGAACACAGUCAAACAGCAGGCAAAAUGGUGAUGAUCUUGUAUUAUGGUAGUUUUGACGAUUCCACAUUUAAUAAUAAAAAUAUAAGCCGUUGUCAGAUACUGCUAGUUUUGACGUAGAAGAGUUUCUAACUCUAGGGUAAACUUAACUGAAGAGCAUGUAAGAUGAUGGCUCAAAGUGUCACUUAUCUAUGAAAAGGGAGACUUUACUUGAAAAGAGCCAGACAAAUCAAGGCACAGAAAUAACUCUGGGAGGCAAGAGUACAUGACUGUCUUAAUAGAUUUCACAUAUAGUAUUAUAUUUAUUUAAUCGUUUGAAACAGGGUCUCGUGUAGUCCUGGCUCGCCUAGAACUUUCUAUUUAGAUCUGGCUUCAAAUUCAGAGAUCUGCCUGCUUCUAUCUUUUGAAUGCUGGAAUAAGAGUCAUGUGCCACCACACCCGGCUCAGAAACAGUGUUUGUGUUCAUCAAAAUCACUGUCUUGGGCCAGGAGGGUGGCACGGUAUGGAGUCUGAGGCAGGAUUGUGUCCAGGAAUUCUGAGCGCCAUGCUGAGACCCUGUAGUAUCUUAAGGCCAGCCUUUCUCCAAUAGU